ACGAACGCUGGCGGCGUGCUUAACACAUGCAAGUCGAACGGAAAGGCCCUGCUUUUGUGGGGUGCUCGAGUGGCGAACGGGUGAGUAACACGUGAGUAACCUGCCCUUGACUUUGGGAUAACUUCAGGAAACUGGGGCUAAUACCGGAUAGGAGCUCCUGCUGCAUGGUGGGGGUUGGAAAGUUUCGGCGGUUGGGGAUGGACUCGCGGCUUAUCAGCUUGUUGGUGGGGUAGUGGCUUACCAAGGCUUUGACGGGUAGCCGGCCUGAGAGGGUGACCGGCCACAUUGGGACUGAGAUACGGCCCAGACUCCUACGGGAGGCAGCAGUGGGGAAUAUUGCACAAUGGGCGGAAGCCUGAUGCACCAACGCCGCGUGCGGGAUGACGGCCUUCGGGUUGUAAACCGCUUUCGCCUGUGACGAAGCGUGAGUGACGGUAAUGGGUAAAGAAGCACCGGCUAACUACGUG
This 467-nucleotide ribosomal RNA is filed under the name uncultured bacterium. RNAcentral describes it as "partial 16S ribosomal RNA". It matches the Rfam family "Bacterial small subunit ribosomal RNA", at positions 29 to 507 of the family's 1533-position model. The record is from RNAcentral.